This is a long non-coding RNA of Acinonyx jubatus (cheetah), 7588 nucleotides long. RefSeq lists it as uncharacterized. The record is from RefSeq and is a predicted model, not a curated record. Lineage: Eukaryota; Metazoa; Chordata; Mammalia; Carnivora; Felidae. The transcript is spliced from 10 exons.
AGGCAGGAAGGAAAAAGUGGGAGGACUGGGGCAUUACAGGGAGACGUAAGGGAAGUGGCAGGGGAGGGAGGAGAAUAGGAGGAAGGAGAAAGAGAAGAGAGGAGAGAAACCUCAGAGUCACAGCACAGUAGGAGGAUUGAAGUGCUGGUGGGAGAGGAUGUGCUGAGAAGGAGAUGGGGCAGGCAAGGAGAUGGGCUGGGGAGACAGAUGGGCACUCCUGAGCCCUCUGUCUCUGCUCUGAAGGGGCCACAGCCUCCAGGCUGCCAGACUCCCUGGCAAGGCUUCUCCCUCCUCCUCCUCUCUUGCAUGAGUCCUGUGAAGGAUGGAGCAACAGUCUUCCUGGGGAGAGGAAGUGAGCUGUUCUGUCACACUGCCCUGUAUGUGGCCCUGGCACAUCAUGUGGUUCCAGAGACAGCCAGCUCCGGACCAGCUACCAAAGAAGGAAAAGCAGAGGGAUCCUGGUAUGGAGAUGGGGACUUAAUCUAACUUUAUCCCACUCUUUCUUCUCCUUCAGCCCUAACCAGAUUUACCAAAUGAGCUUUCCUCAGAUCUCCAAAGAAGCCACUUGGGGUUACAACAGUUGAGUGUUAAAGAAAGUAUGCAUUUAGCAAGUGGCCGAAGACAUUUGCCGAGAUGCUUGUCCUCUGACCCCCUGCAGCUUGACUGAUGUAAUGGGAGAGAUAUGUUGGCUAUAUUUAUGCAGUCAAGCCUCCGAAGAGAUGGAAUUUAUCUGGACAUCACUGGAAAACAAAUUUUGUUGUGAAACCUCUGAAGAUGUGUUUUCUCGAGAGCAUCUGAAAGGAGGAGUUUACAGAGCCAUCCUUCUAAGGGUCUGUGAUUCCAUUGCCUUUUUGGUGGUGCUCCUAAUUCCUUCAUGACCCGGCUGAUACAACUGUGAACUAGGAAGUAGGAUUCAACCAAGACUCCAACUUGCAGGCCCCUUGAUCAGUACUUUGCCUCUGUGAAACUGAGUCUCUGCCUGGCUUUAAAGUCCUUGCUGUUUCAUGUAUACACUUCUCUCACAUGGAAGGAAGAGUUCAAUUGCCAAGCUGGAAAGAGGUGGUGAUGCUCAGUGGAGAGUGCCUGGUUUCUAGCCCCAACCACGUGACUUCAGCAGGUGCUCCCCCCCAUCCCAUCCCCACGCAAAGAUCUGGGUUCCAGCUCCAACACUGCCACCAGAUGGCCAACUGUUCUUAGGCCAGUGGUCUAACCUCUCUGGGCUUCAGCUUCAUCAUCCCUUGUUAGAUGUGCUCUGCCUACCUCACAGGACUGGACUGCUGAGUGGAACAAAUGAGGGUUAUGAGACACAGCUCUUUCACUGGGGUGGACAUACCAUGAGAAGGUGGUGGAGGCAACUUGUGUUAAUAAGGUCCGGCUCCAGGUUCAGACUCUAACCUGUGAUUUGAGAGCCCAUGAGGUGUGUUCUCCUACCACAUAGUGGAUUUGUUAGGAAGUGACUGCCAGUCAUGGACUAACCCAAGGCCUUUUUUAUCAAGGCUCCUUUGCUGUGAUGAAACAGCUGCUGUGUUGUGAACUGCCCCAAGGAAAGGAGGGCAACGGAAGUGAGGGAGACCUCCACCAGCAGGCUUAGAGGACCUGAAUCCUGCCAACACCCACUGGAGUGACCUUGAAAGUGGAUUCUCUCCAAGUUAAGCCUUGAGAUGGUUCAAACACCUUGACUGCAGCCUUAUGAGAAGUCCUGAGUCAGAGGAUCCAGUUCAGCCACUGCCCACAGACUCCUGACUCACACUGCACUUGGGAGAGAAAUAAGUUUGAGUGGAAUCUGAAGAUCUUUUCACUGCCCUUCAUGCUGUAUCAUAUAAGCAAAGCUUCCAAGUCACACAGUGAGACCCAGGAGGCAGGAGCCAAUAAAAUCUUAAAAACACCCAAGGACCAGGCCCACACAUUCCAAAUGCUUCUUAGGACUCUUUGCCCCUCAUGGCCUUGCCGUGUGACCUGCUGCCAACACCACAGAGUAGCUGUCCUGGGAGCAACACUCACAAAGAAGCAUGGCAUUGUUUUAGUCCAUGGUGUUGGAGAGAAGAAAAAAGUGAAAUUGACAAGAAAAAUAAUCAAUACAUAAAAUUAAUGUCAAAUUUUUUAAAUGCCCUUAUUUCUAUGGUAUUAACCUACACUUGGAUUCCCUUUCACUUGCAUUGUUUGUCCUGAGCUUAAAAUGCAUGUAUGGACUAAUGUGCAAGGUACCUCACCAGAAAUAGCAGAUUCCCAUCUUACUUAUGCAUGGUAUGAACUAAUACAAUGAUUUAGUGUGUGGUAUGUAAAAUUAAGCAGUAAGAAGCUCUGAAACCAGAAGGGCAUGCACUGUUUUGAUGACUGCAAAUAAUGCCCUUUGAUUUCUUUUUUUUUUUUAAUGUACUUGUUUUCAUUAUCAUUGCAUAUUGGAUUGUUAAGUUUUCAGACCCUGGACUACAUAUUUUACGGGCAAUGUCCCUUUUAACUUUAAUACAUACAGCAAUUCUGACAGCGGGUGCUAUUGCUUCCAUUUUAGAGAUCAGAAAAUUAAGGCUUAUAGGAGUCAAGUUGCCAAAGUCACAAAAUUGGCACAUGGCGGACCUGGGAUUCAAACCCAGUCUUUUCUGAGUUCAAGCUCUCAGCUAAACCCAAGCACUGUUUUGCCUACCAUGGAGGGUUAAACCAGCAGCCAAGGACAUCUCUUACACAUGUGUCCAGUCUUCUGUCAAAGGGGCAUGUGACCAGACCUGUCCCUACCCUUUGUAUGAGCACCUCCCACCCCCAGUCCUAAAAUGUUCUGCUUAACUGAGGUUUGAGUUACUGAAUGGGCAAACAGAUAAACCAGGAGGUAAUUAUUUAUAUAACCAGCAAAAUAAUCUUUCAAAAUAGAAUAUCAUUAGUCCUUUGAGUAGUUUAUUGAUGACUCAUGAUUCUUAAAAUCUCUGAUAGGAAAGGAAUUUAGAAGUUCAUCUGAUGCAAACUUCCUUGACUACUGAAUUGAGAUGCCAUGAAACUUAAACUAAAAGAGUCUAUUGGAGUGAAAUUGUGGAUAAUCAUGGAUAUCAUCUCUAAGAUGAUAAUGUGAAUGUGAAUAGGAAGGAAGAGUUCACUGGACUCAAUCUGAUUAUUUAUUUUUCAAGUAUUUUUAUAUCCAAUUUUGGGAAUAAAUAAUUUUAUCCAAAUCUUCCUCUCCCUCCUUUCCAUAAUCCAAAUUCUGUCCAUUCUUCAAGUCCUAAUUUAAUUGUAAGUUUUUUCAUGGAAAUUCCUCAAUGGUGGGACAGCUAUUUUUCCUUCUGGACUUCCAUUUUUCUCAGUCUUGUUUAUGUCAUUUAGUGUUUGAUUUUCAGACUGCAUUCUAAUAGUUUCAUCAUUCUAACUGAUUGCGUGAAGGACAUAGAAAGUGUAUAUUCAGUUUCUUGCUUCCCCAGAAGCCCCUCACUUAGGGAUUGACUUUGUAGCAGGUGCUUUCAGGGCCCCGCCCUACUCUUUGGACCCUUCAGUGGGCUCCAGCUAACUUAAAAAUGUCAGUAUCUGCCUUUGUGUGCCUGAAGGCUCCCUUUCCUUCACCCUCAGUAGGGGAAAGCUUGCUCUUUGUAUAUAUGGCAGGCCAGAGUUUCAAAGAGUUACCACCCUCUAGCAAUAGCCCUCAAACUAAUGAAGCUCUUAAGUUGGUAUAUAAACACCCCAGCUCCCUCACUCCUUGAAGUGGUUCUGAAUCAUGUGCUUUGCACCAUUUCCCACAGUUUUCUUGAGAGGUAGGCUCCAGCGGUCCAUAGCAGUAGCUGGCUAAAAAAGUCAUGUACCCUUUAUUUACUGCAUUUUCUCCUUGUGUUACCUGCAGCGCCCAAGUAGAUAGUUUACACUCACAUCAGGAUCUGCUUCUGGGGAACUCAAACCAAGACAGGUAUAGAGGAUAUUGUCAAUAUUGACUUAUUGGUUGGAUGAUUAGCUGACUGUCAGUGUUUUUCCUUGCAGGUACAGGGAUUGUGCGUUUUUUUUCGGAAGCCAUGGUGCUUUUCUGCCCAGUGGUACUCAUUCAUUCCUAGUUGAAUGGAACAAUGAUGAGGGCAAGGAUUCCCACCCCAGGUUCAUCUAGCUCUGUUCACUACUCUGUAUUUGUGAUCUAUUACUGACUUCGGUAAGUAGCAAAGAGCCCAGGGGAAUUAUGUCAAACCUCUAUUCCCUCUCUCCCAUCCCUGCUGCUACCAGCUGCAUGCAAUUCUCAUGUUUUAUUGUCUUUACAUUGAUUACCUUCUGACAAGGCCAGGAAGAAAUGCUGACCCUUGGUUACAACUAAGCAAAGGCCCCUUCCCUUUGGAAACACAAAAAAGAAUGAGAAAAUGAACAACAGAAAGAUGUUUCCUAACAGGGCCAUGUCAAAUUUAUAGAUAAAUAAAAUAUCAAAGAUCAAAUGAGGCUAGAUCAGCAGUUUGGAUCUCUCCCCAACCAAGCAGAGAAUAUGCUGUCGACUCCGUCUUGGACUGAUUUCCAACUUUGUGUUUCACAGCUGUAGCCAGGCAGAGUACGUCCAAUAAUGCUAUUUGUUUUCCACUUAAAAAAAAAAAAGGCUGGGGAAAUAUAUAAAUGGCUCAUAGGAGAAGAGGGCAUUAGCAGACAGUCAGUCUGACCAAAGCGAGACAGGCAGAUGGUUUGUGGGCCUGACGCCAGCUGGGUGUUUCCAUAAGUGAUCGCAUAUCUCCUCUCUGUGCCCCAGCACUCGGCUUGAUUAAGAGGUCAGGAGCAGGCUGCCACAGCACGAGGCCAGAGCACACAUGAUAUACGGCCAACCUGUCGGUCGCCUAGAAACAGCUCUGUAAAGGGGCCCAAAGACAAAUCAAUUUAUAAGCCCACAAGUUUGGGCCCAGUAGUCUUGGCUGUUAUUAAAACAUGAAGUUUGAUUCUUUGGGCUUGCUUUCUCAAAUGUCACUCAGCCCCUUUAACUUUGACCGGACAUCACUUCUUUUCCUUUUUAAUACAGUAGUAUCUUUGGAUAAGUGAUAAUACCUUCCAGGUGGGAUUCCGGGAAGUGAGCGAGGCUGGAGGCAGGCAGGCAGGAGAGGGAUGCAUUCAGGGAAAACUGAGGUGAGGUCUGGUUCUCCUUUCUUCAUUUGCUGAGCACUGGGUGCCCAGUACUGUGGAGAAGUACAGGGAGAGGAGGACACAUCAUCCUUUUCUGGAUGGUGAAGGUUUAUGUGUAUAAAGCAGGGCAACCCAAAGAUGCAAAGGGCUGAAAUGAGUGAUGUGGAUAAUGCAAAUUUUUAAAUGGUCGGCGAGGUGGUCAGAAAAAGCCUUAGAGAGGAAGUGGAACAUGAGGUAGGUGUGAUUCACACAAAUGAAGAAGUCAGAUUUGCAGAGAUGCAGCAGUCAUCUGGGUAACCUUCGGAAAGCCUCUUAACCUGUAUAUGCUUCGAUCGAUUUUAUCCUUGCUUUUCAGAGAGCAUAGGAUUGAGAACUUUCCAGAGAGAGGACUCAGAGAACAAAGGCUAAGCAUGAUACUCUAGGGCCAAUGAGGCACUAGUCUGCCUGGAGUGGGCCUUAAGACUUUGUUCACUGAUCUGUGAGUAAUCCUAUUCUCAAGUGAUUUCCACGGCAGACCUGAAUGGCUCUUGGAAUGCUGCCUGCUGGCCACACCUUCCCCUGCUAUGUCCACUCUGCAAACUUAUCUGUCCAGUUACAGAUUCUGGUUAGUGAUCUGGAUUGAAAUUCUGUCUUCAUUCCUGAUUAGAAAGAUGAAGGAUUGUGCUUCCCAACUAUAAAAUCUGUUUAGUAAAUGUUUACUAUAUACCUACUUUUAGCGAGGCACCAAUGUAAGCAUGGAUGGAAGAGUUAAAAGUCUGCAAGUAUAGUCUGUCCCUUACUGUAAGGAGUUUGCAAUCUCUUUACAGGGUGGUUAAAAUAAAUAAAUCAAGGCGCAGCAAGCCUCUGAGAUAGGCCCCCAACAGAGGUGUAAGCAAUGUGAUGGGGGUUAGAAGUAGUGGUUAUUUCUGGUUGGAGGGACCGGGAAAGGUUUCCUGGGGAAGACUAUGGGCAGCCCAAAGUUGCCUGAAGUUGAGGGAAGGCAGCAGUCCAGCUUUCUAUCUAAAACCCUAUGUGGUAAGCAGCAGUCAGAGGUAAAAGGUGACUCUUAAAUUCACAACACAGUAAAGGCAACCCAGCUUGAAGGGUAGGUAAAGGCCAUGCUAAUUUUUGAAGGUUCAGUCUUGGUUUGCCUAGAACGCUCUCAAUUUACAUAUUAUCAUUAGUAACAUCCUCUUUCAUUCUCAAAAUUGUCCUGGUUUGGACAAGAAUUAUACAGUCAUCUUCAUUAUAGGUAAUGUUUUCAGCAGCCCUUCAGGAGCAGCCAAUCUGAGCUAUACCAACAUAGUAGACUGGGGAUGUUCCCUUGAACCAAGAAAUCCUUUUUAUGUUGCCUCCAAACGAACACACACAGAUCAACAAUGAGAAAAAGCCAAGGUAUUCCUUUCCUGUAGAAUGAACCAAGCAAUGGAAGCAGGUGGGCACGCCAGACACACACCCAUUGUCGAGGUACACUGAUAGAGCAUGGAAUGAUCACGAAAAAUCUAUUAACACACUCGAGCCACACUCAGUCUUGUUUUGCAGAUAAACAUGGUCUGUGAUUAUUUUACAACACUGUGAAGGUGCUGGGGGUUGUCCCUCAUUUAUUACUUGACUAAUAAAUACUUUAAUUACACUUAAUAAAUAAUGUAAGCAGGGCUCACUGAAGUGGUAAUUCUUUAAAUUAAUUAUUAACUGCAUGCAAAAGGCUGCACUGCCAGUACCACUAAAAGAAAAUUCAGCCUUUAAUCUAAAGUGAUUAUUCAUUAUCUGGUAUAAAGGCUCCAUUUGCAUAUUAUUAGGGAAAUAAACUUUGGCCUCCUUGGCAAUACAGAUAGAUCUCAAAGUCCGUGCAUUAUGAAUCUCCAAAUACUAAAGUAAUGAUAAACAAUAUGUAAUAAAGUCUCCAGUUUAUAGCUUUAUAACAGCUGGUUUUUGAUUUUCCAAAUAUAUUACAAUGAUAAAGUGACCAGUUAAUGUAUAAGCUCUUUGUGAAAGGUGGUGCCUACAGAUGGUCGACUGAUAGGAAACGGUAAAUGUGCAAACUGCUCAUUUCCCUUGAGAUUGGAGCCAUAAAAUGAUCUCAAUAAGAUAUGAGAAGAAAAUCUCUCUUUAACCCUUUUCUUAGCUGCAGUCCAAAUAUGGGGCUGCGUUUGGCUGUCUGGUGUGUCUCUUUCUCUGCUCCUCCCAGACUCCCACCUUUCCCCUGAUAAAGUGAAGGGGGAAUAUCUGGAUAUGCAGGCCUUGUGGUAUCCCUGAUUCUACCUUGGGGCAAAGAGGCAAGGUAAGGUUCCAGUCAAAAGAGAAAGAUGAUCUAUAAAACAAGCAAAAGACCAAAAUUCAUGUGCCCCUUGCAUUCUCUAACUUGGUACUUUCUCCUUGAGCCUGGGCUUCUUCCAGAGGAAGUGACUGACCCCAGAUGUGAUGGCUGGGGAGCAAGAUGCAUGGAGCAGCCUCCUAGCAUUUAAACUAUAAAAUUCUGUGGAGAAAUGAUUGAAAAAGAGGUUUCUGAAGGAGAAGGAGAAAUCUCUCUCCUUGACUCCCUUUGGCACAAGUAGGG